UCCGCCCGUUAGUGCCACAAAACGAAACGGCGAAGGCACCCGUUCCGUCGCUCUGUGGGCGGUGACAGGAGGAGGAAGCAGCAGGGGCGUCUCCGCCCCGCCCCACCGGCGGCAGGGGCGGGGUUCUCCGCAGGGCGCAGUCGGCCGCCGCCAGCACAGCAGGCAUAAGGAGUGAAACCGGUUCCCAGUUUCUCCAGCAGCAUGUCUGUUUCCUCCAGUUACUUUGCAGCACGUGUGCACACUUCUAACAACUCUGUGCUUGCAUGUUUGAGUUCUGUCCUCAUUGGGUUCAGUUUUUACAGAACAUAGUGUGUGCCCUCAAUAUGGGUAUGUCCCAGGAGAGUACAGGAACUGCCCAUAAUACUAUGGCUGGUGUGGCUGGUACACAUCUCAUUUGUGUGCAAUCGGGGCAGUACCAGCAAGGCUGCACAAGAGCUGAGAAGGGCUCAUGGAUGCCACAGAAGACUACUCUGAUAAAGAUGCAUGCUUGUGAUAAUGGAGAAACUGGAUAGACAGAAAAAGCUGGCAGCAUCUUCCUCAGUUCAUGUGGAACAUACUGGAACAAAGAUAUCCAAGAACACUGAAGACUAACAGGCAAGGAUAUGGGCUUCCUGAAGGGACUUAUGCCUUUGCUGAUGCUCCUCUUCUAAUUCCUGGAUCUCCUGAGUCAGCCUCUGUCGCUCCUGACUGAACUGGGC
Molecule: long non-coding RNA, 698 nt
Organism: Lepidothrix coronata (blue-crowned manakin)
Lineage: Eukaryota; Metazoa; Chordata; Aves; Passeriformes; Pipridae
Exons: 5
Source: RefSeq, a predicted model, not a curated record